Molecule: long non-coding RNA, 4320 nt
Filed under: Brassica napus (rape)
Lineage: Eukaryota; Viridiplantae; Streptophyta; Magnoliopsida; Brassicales; Brassicaceae
Description: long non-coding RNA (BNAP_LNC027005)
Source: RNAcentral
UAUUCCUCUUUCAAUUCAAGCUCACCCGAGUCUUUGUUUACUUUCGAGGAUCGUGUCUCGAGCAAUGUGUGACAUAUUUCCUCUUCCAGUUCUCUGUUCUUCCAAAGAAAGACUGGUUCAGGUCAAAUGGUAACGUCCUCCCAGAAGGUAACCGGUAGGACAGGUGAUACAGGCAUGGUCGCAACGCACUGGAACUGUAACCAGAGGAGCAAAAUUUAAGUAUCAGCACAUGCUUAAUUCAAAUGAUGGCACUGAUCUCAAUUGUAAUGUUAAAUUUACCUUGUGGUGCUUGUAUUUAUCUCUAACAGCUUGUAAAGCACCUCCUCUUCUCCUCAGAUACAAGUCAUGUAUGAUUCCCACACACUCUUGUAGAUCAGCCGCUUUGUACUUUGUGUAUUCUUCCAACAUCUGAUUCUGUUUUACAUCAAUUAGAUUAUUAGUGUCUCAUUCAAUAAAAUUUACAUGUAAGAGAAUGAGAACAAAAUGCUUACCCAAGGAUGUUGUUUUGGACGGAUGAUGAAUCGAGCAAGGAAAACAGCAGAAGCAGCCAACAUAGAUGGCAAAAACUUCACAGCUUUGUAAUCUAAUAUACUCAAUUCUGAUAAGUAGCAAGAGAGUGGUUCUAGCUGCAAGUGUGGCACCUGAAAUAAAGGCAUAUAAAAAAUAAUAUUUAGCAUUUUGAUACUCUUUUAAGAUUCCUUAUCUUAUAUAAAUGUAGAUCAGUCUGAGCUUACAUUGAAAUCUUCUUGUGCAACCCUUGUGAAUCGUCUGCACAUUAAAAAUGGAAAAACAGAAUGAGGACAAUGAACCAUGCAAACCAGUAAAUUACUCUAUCAGCAAAAGACAUUGUUUCAUCACAAAUCUAACCUUAUAAAAGAAUUGAUUGUGGGUCUUCCCAGUUCAAACUGAAGGGCAAGAAGUAUAUCUGCUUCCAUCUUCACCACAUCUUGUUUCGAAAAUGUAUUAUCAGUGAUGUAACAGAAAUCUUCUACUUUGGGAGGACUUAUCUCUUCAUACUUCCUAAUAAUUUCCAACAACCAAAAGAAUAAGUUUCAUAAGCUUCAUUCAAAAACACAAAUGACUAGCAAAAUAGAGAUCUGAAAGAUGCUUACGAGGCAAUAAGCAUAGCAGAAACUCCCAAGAGCUGAAGCCUCUUCUUGUUGACGGUCUUUAAGGACAAGAAUCUAUCGAUGUAAGAGACAGUGAGAUGGAGUGUCUCAGACAGGAGUUUGUACUCGUCAGCAACUUCGACUAACCAAUCAACCAAAACACCUCUCAUGGUUGGCGUUACAUCUUUCUGAACCUUUUCCAUGUAAUCAGGUAAAGGUCUUUGCUUUGGCUUCACCUGAGUUUCAACCAAAAGCAAUAAUCUUUCAGCUUCACAUAUAACAUAUCCAAUAAUAAUAAUAAUCAUCAGAACCCUAAUUUGUCAAAACCAAAUCAGAUUGUUAUCAUAAAUCUCAGAAACUUAAAGAUCAAACCCACAUUUAAACUAAUAACAAUCAUCAAUUUUUCUGAAUUGUCCACAUUUUAAAGAACAUAUAGAUAAACUGAAAGUCUUCGGACAAAACCCAAAACCUUUAAAUUUGAGAUCGUUACCUCCAUUUGACGGAGAUACUCGUAGAUGUCGGAGACAUAAGGUCCGCACAUCUUGGGAUCAUCGGAUCGAGCAUCAAUGUCAGAUCCAAAUUCCACGGCAGCCAAAGCCACCGGAGCCGUCUUUCUCAAUAGAGCUCCAAGACUCUUUGCGGGCUUCGGGAUCUGAUUGAAACUGGACAAGACGGAGAUGUUGGAGAGAUUCGGAAGCUCGCCGAGAACCACUCUCUUCUUGGUGACACGUUCAUCCUCCGUGGCCGUAGACUUUCUCUUCACCGCCGCUCUCGUCAUCCUCACACAGAUCUCCUUCUCAGUCAUGAUUGAGGGGUUGAAGAGAUUCCGAGAGAAAGGGAAAGUAAGAGAGAGAGAGAUUUGGUGGUGGUGAGGAAGAAGUGAGGGUGAGAAGGGGAAGAAAAAGGGAAGAGUAAAAGCGCCAUUUUCGAGUUGAAAACAAAGCUUCUCGCGCUCUGUGUGCGAUUUUGAGUUUUAUUUUCAAGAGUCAAAAAACUUUGGAGGAAGGAAUCGAAUAUCUAAUCUGAAAAUUGUUUGGCGGGCGAAUUUUUCAUCGGAUAUCUGUCUGAAUUUGUUUUACCCGUACGAUUGUUGUUGAGUCAUGCGAAUUUCACCUUCUCUUUUUCGACGAAUAACAUUUAGAAUUAUUUACUCAAACACCCUUCUAAUUUUCUAUAAAUUAUUUUCAUAUCAUAUUUUUAUAAUAUUUUUUUCCUCGAUAAUUUGUAGUACAUUUUGCUGAUUUGUAUAUGUAAAAUCUUUUUUUUAGAAUACUGCUAUUCAAGCGGCAAAAAGUUUGGGGCUUCGUAGAAUUUUAUCCACCAUUUAUUUGGCGGCUGUUUUCUCCAUUUUUUACCCUUCUAAUCUUUUACAGAUUACCGAUUUAUUAUUAAUAUUCACUGUAUUUAAUUUAUAAAAAUUAUAUUUCAUUUUAGUGUAUUUUUAUUUUCACAUUCUUUAAAAAUAAAUAUAUUAAAUAUCAUAUCUUUUAUUAUUUAUUACUAGAUUUUUAUACGCGUUUUGAUAACGUAGAAUUAAUUUCACAAAUUUUACUUUAACAAAAUAACAUAAAUUUUAUUUUUAUUUGUAAACCAUUUUUUCUAAUAAAUAUUAUGUUUUAAAAUAUUAUAUUAUUAGAAAAAUAAUUUUAUAGAAUAAUAAACUCAAUUUAUUCAUUUUUAUAAUUUAUUUAAUAUUUAGAAGAAUUGGUUUGAGUUUCUGGAUGUUCUUAUAACUAAUACAUUAUUAAUCUAAUAUUAAUAUCCAAACCCAUCGCAGAUAAUAGUAUAGAUAGAUCUGUAACUUAAUAUAUUACAUUAUUUAAUUAUAUUUAUUCUUUACUUUAAUAAUUUAUUUAUAGAUUCACACUUUUUUACAAUUGUCAAGGUUAUUAAAAUUUCUCUCUUAAUUUAGCUUCUUGUGUUUUUCUAAGUUAUGAACUUUAAUACAAACACUUCUCAUUUAGAAAAACUCCAAUUUUGUCAUGUGUAAAAUUGAGGUCCGGUGCACAAAAAGAAGAAAAAAAAAUUGAUGUCCAACAUAGAAUCCACAUUGGCAUCUAGGAUAAGAGCAGCUUUCUCUAACCACAAUGCCAAGUUCACACCUAUUCAUCUGGUAAGCUUUGCAGAUUGAGUUUGAUAGAUUUUAGCUAUCUAGAACUCUUGUAACAACGUAAACACUCUUUAUUAUCAAUAUGAAAGGUAAGUACAGCUUGAGUGUGAAUCGAUCUAAGCUCUCAUAACGAACUCAGAAGCGAUUCACCAGUCUCAUGGCGACUGAGGUGUAAAGACUCAUAACGUCAAUUACAAACAACAUCAAGCAUAACUCUACUCAAUCUCUAUCUUCUUUAUAUAGCUCGCUUCUCUCAGUCUCGAGCUAACCGCAAACCCUCUCUUUCAAAUAGAAGUUCCGCUUCCUCCUUCAUUUAAAUCCCUCUCCACGUCAUCCUCCUCUGCUAUCUCCUUUCCUUCCUUCUCCGAUAGUAAGCUACUUUAUACCUAUCAGAGUUCCACAUCUACAUAAUAAGCAAUGAGGUUUGAGCCUCACCGAGUCUAAAACAACACUAGAUAAGUUAGCUAUCAAAUGGCUAGCCAUCAAUUCACUACAAAUAGUUGUUAACAUUCAUAUCUAUGAGUCUCGUAUUUAUUUCGAUCAGAUAGAAGCCCCCCAAAUUUGAAGCUUUCAUGAAUUUUAUCAGUUAAUCAAAUUUGGUGCAGCCACGGGUUUAAACUGAAUAACCUACCAUAACCGUAAAAGAAGUAAAUUGUACGCAUCUGUAUAGAGAGAUACUAGUAUCUAAAUAAAACCCAUUUACUUGUGAUACGUUGCAGAAGAUAAAUUUUUAAUCUUUUCAUUUGUCAAACAACUUCACUGGCAGGGAAAAAAAAAAUACAGACACGGAAAAUUACAUCUAUGUAUGCCAUAAGUUCACGAUGAUGCCUCUCUAGAUCAGUCUUCAUCUGUCCUAAUUGUUUCCUCUUUCAAUUCAAGCUCAACCCGUGUCUUUAAUACUUCGCAGGAUCGUGUCUCGAGCAAUGUGUGACAUAUUUCCUCUUCCAGUUCUCUGUUCUUCCAAAGAAAGACUGGUUCAGGUCAAAUGGUAACGUCCUCCCAGAAGGUAACCGGUAGGACAGGUGAUACAGGCAUGGUCGCAACGCACUGGAACUGUAACCAGAGGAGCAAAAUUUAAGUAUCAGCACAUGCUUAAUUCAA